Molecule: long non-coding RNA, 704 nt
Organism: Scophthalmus maximus (turbot)
Lineage: Eukaryota; Metazoa; Chordata; Actinopteri; Pleuronectiformes; Scophthalmidae
Exons: 3
Source: RefSeq, a predicted model, not a curated record
GUCAAACUCCUAAACCUGCAUUUGCAGGUGAGUGUUGACACUUCUCCAACGCGCAUCGGUGAGGUGAUGUGUCAUCUGUCGCCAGGCAGCGUGUGGGGCAGCAGACUGCGGGCGGCGGUGUUUACAAACCCGCGUCUCGGAUGGAGGGCCUCCACGACAGCUUCUCAAACUUGUUCAGCUGACUGAAGGUCCCGUUGUGUUGCGCCGACGACAUCCUCACAGGAGCUUGGUCACACCCGAGGAACCCGCUUCGCUGUGACCGAGCCCCGUGGCAUGAGACCGCAGGCUCCUACAAUCAGACCGAAACAAAAUGUUAAAAACCUGGGAUUUACCACGUCCACAACUAUCAAAAUAUGCUUUGCACAUUACAGUAAAACGUAGCGUCUAAAGCAAACUAAAAUGAAUAAGAAAUAAAAACAAAACUAAAGAAACCUUUUUGGUUGAGAGGUGAAAACGUCUUCAAGAAACUACAAAGAAGUCCAUUUGCUCCUGAUUCAACACCCUCUUGGACAACAAUGAGCUGGAUGAAUGAGAAUCUCCACAGACAUCUUUAACUUAUUAUUGCACCACCGACUUUGUGUACCGUAAUUUGUCUUGCUUGCUGCAGUAAGUCAACUUUCAAAAAGUAUGGUCACUUGCAACCUGGCAAAAAGUGAUUGAAAUAUUGAAAUUGCUCAUCAAAGUAAAACAUAUGGAUUAAGUAA